UCCGACCGACGGGCGAGGGUCCACGAGAAACGCCUCCCUAAGUGGUCGUGGGAGUUCGGUGCUGCGGACGUUUUCCCGAAUAUCCUCGCACGCCACCAGCUCUAUUUCCUUAUUCCUCUUUCACCAAACCAUUUACCUGUCCAGUUAUAACGUGCAAGGUGUUUCCCUAAGGUCCUUUGUACUGAUUUCUCACUCCUCUACACGGCUUGUGAAAAACCAUUGUUUAGAGUCCUCCAAACAUUUAGGUCUCAAGACUGGCUUCGGCUGUGCAAAGGGUGAUCUAGACACUGUGUUUUCCUGCCACCCUGUUUGAACCACAUCAGUAACUUUCCUUCCAAAGUGUACAGAGGUAAUGGGAAAAGAAGAAACCAUCAGCUGAGCUAGGGUGCUAAAAGUUUUGAAACAGUGGCUGCAACAUCUUCCUAACAAGUAAACAUUUCAGGGUAAUACAGGAGAAACCCUUCCAGUUUAAGCAGUUCUCAUAUAAACAAAGGAGUUCUACACUGAUGCUCAAAUCUUCAGGCUUAAGCAAUUUCAAAACAACUCUGUCGAGAAGGAAGGACCUUUAGUGACUCUGCUCAUCCAUUCAUUUGGCUUCCAUUUACUGAACAUUGGACAGAGUUCCUGUGCCUCAUGCUUGUGAAAUACACAGAGCAAGAGAAGGUCUUGCCCCCAAGAGGCUCACCAUCCAGAAUAACCUUUUGAGGUCAAAAAGCCCUUAGGAAAUUUGAUGAUAGUUGCAAACUCCUAGAAAAAUGCAGACAGAAGACUGCAGACAAUUUCAGGGAAUCAUAGGUUCCCCUGAGGGAAAUCAUCCAUGGAUUCAAAUGAAUUUACCCUUGAUCAACAGAGAGGCAAAUGUGGAUUCAUAAUACCCAGUUCCAACCACCUGCUAGUUUGUUUCAUCACUGUUUUGGAUUGUGAUUUAAUACCUUUCAAGAUUCUAUGAAGUGAAUGGACUCUAAAUCCCCAAGGACACACAUCAGAUCCCAGAGUCUUAGAUGUGGUUGUGGGUCCCCCACUCCUAUGACAUCUAGGAAAGGCCACUGCUAUUCUUUUAUUCUUUUUUGAGAGAAAGUAGAAUUAAAAGUAAUACAGUACCACCCCACUUCCUCACCUGCAGGACAUCCAAGUUGAACCUUAGGUAGCCAAGAUUACACUCCACUUCUUAUGGGGUUAUCUAUGUAAAUUCAUCUCUCAAGGCUGCCCUCAGAAAGGCUGGCCUGGGGUACAUCAGUGCAGCUAACACAAUCCAUGUGCGCACAGAUUCCCUCCCUCUCCCCGACCCAAAAAAGUGUUGACCCUGGUUUCUGAGACCCUUAGUACCUCAGCCUUGGCACAGCUCCCCUUAGUGAGGGCUUCUUUGUGAAGCCCUUCCUUCCAAGUGAAGGUAGGUUUGCCAAAGAUUUUUCAGGGAAAAUCAAUAGAACAAAGCACCUCAGACAGAGGGGAAAAGGAAAACCUCAAGCACAGACCUCCCUGGCACAGACCUAAGCAGUCUCCAUAUCCUAUGGGUAAGGCGCUGGUUCUGUAACAAAAAAAAAAAAAAAAAAAAA
This is a long non-coding RNA of Fukomys damarensis (Damara mole-rat), 1556 nucleotides long. RefSeq lists it as uncharacterized. The transcript has 3 exons. The record is from RefSeq and is a predicted model, not a curated record. NCBI's taxonomy places the organism in Eukaryota, Metazoa, Chordata, Mammalia, Rodentia, Bathyergidae.